AGGUAUGAUAUGUCCAAAUACAUUCUACUGACUAAAAAGAAAAAAAAAAGAAAAAAAAAAACAAGUUAAAAAAAUAAAAGUUGAUAGGGCAGUUUUUUAGUGACUGUGGUCAGGCAAUUGGUUGAGAAUCUGAGGGACUUGGGAGCCAGACAGUUCAUUUCCCUGAAUAAGAGAAAAUGAUCUCUUUUCUUUGAGCUAUUAAAAUCAUAGUAAACUAAAAUAUAUCAUAUUAUUUUGUAGCCCUAGUGGUUUUUGAAUGGCGCUAACGAUCAUGUAUUUUUCUUGCUUAUGGAUCAUCUCAUUUACAUCCGGUGGAGAUGUAAAUGUUCUUUGGUCCAUGCAAGGAAAAAGAAGGGAAUUCUGACUUCAGUAAAACCUAACUCAUCCCCCAAUUUAUUCAAAUCAUAUUUGAAAAAGAGAAAUGGAAUUAAGGGGGAUAAAUUUUAACAGUGCAAAGCCUCUGCUAGUAAAAGAUUAAGGGGUAUGUGGCUUAGCAUCUUUUAAUUAUUUUUUUUUUCUUUUUUGCAUCUUGAAUAUACAGUGUUUGAAAUCUCUGGUUGGAUCAACAUUAUUUUGCUCAGAGCAUGGACAGCUGGUCUUGAGAAUUAAAGAAAAUUCACUUGCUGACUGAGGAAGGAAGUGACAUCAAUGAGCUUCUAAAGUCAGCCCAGAGGGGGAAAUUGGCUUGUGAGAGAGUAGCCUUUCAAUGCACUGUAUUUAUCGAGCGAUGCCUUGAGAUGCAAAUUGCUGUAUCAAUCAAACCUAUGGUGCCUACCUCCAACCAACUCCGUGCAAACCGAAGGAACAAUGCCCUGAAACGCUGAGAAGAAAAAGGAUGAGGGGUGCAGGAACCCAGGGGCGAAGUGAAUUACGGGCGCUCAGGAUGCUGCCUGGCUCAGCUGAUACUUCAUUCUCUGUCAAGCCUCAGUUUCUUUGUCUAGAAAAUGAGUUUGAUGUAAACUGUUGGUUGAAGUCAGUCUGUUCCCGUGACGGAUGGGGAAGAAGACCGCGAACUAAUAGAUAUAGUGUAGACAUGUCAUCUUGCCACUUUUGUCCCAGAGAGAGCCAUCAAUUGCUUUUUAAUCUCCUAUUGAGGCUAUGUAGAUCCCUAGAGAUUCUUGGGUGUCACAUCAUGCUGCUACCUGGCUCUCUAGUACUUUUAAAUCUGUAUUUGCUGUUGACAGUGAAUCUGGACUUUCAAUAAUAAUGAUAAAAGGAAAACCAAUUAUCAUUGUUAUGGUCGUGAAUGAUGCAAGGCUCAUCAUGGGCAGAGAAUUCCCUGUCGCUGUUUUUCCAACACAGUUGUGUGAUUGGAUGGCGUGUGUGUGUGUGUGUGUGUGUGUGUGUGUGUGUGUGGUGUUGUGCACGCAUGCAUGUAGGAGGGUAGACAUACACACCUGUAUGAAAGACAGGCAGCAGGUAUGAUUUGUAGUUAUACGCUGGAAAAUUAAGUUGCUAAUUAUUUGUUUCCUACUCUGCUGCGUGUAAGGUGGCUACAGUAAUGGUUCAAUAACAGUUAAAAAUGGAGUCUGAGUUUAAAAUCUAGAGUCAUGGGAAUAACUCAGGCCAGGAAACAGGUGCAUGAGCUGGCUAAUGUUCUUUUUGUCUGUCCACAUAUUUGGGGCAUUCAGUUCAAUUUUCAAACUUUCAUGAUGUUAAAUAUGUUACUUGAACCAAUUUAAAAAUAUUGAUUAAAUUAAAAAAAGGUAUAAACUCUC
Molecule: non-coding RNA, 1718 nt
Organism: Ictidomys tridecemlineatus (thirteen-lined ground squirrel)
Lineage: Eukaryota; Metazoa; Chordata; Mammalia; Rodentia; Sciuridae
Source: RefSeq, a predicted model, not a curated record